AGCUCCAAUAGCGUAUAUUAAAGUUGCUGCAGUUAAAAAGCUCGUAGUUGGAUUUGUGGGAUGGCCGUCCGGCGGGGGGCCAUUUAUUGGUCCCGUUUGUCCUGGUUUUCGGCCUUCCCUUUCUCGGGUCUAGCGUAUUGGCUGGCAUUAGGUUGUCGGCCGCUUCGCGCCCGUCGUUUACUGUGAAAAAAUUAGAGUGUUCAAAGCAGGCGUUUGCUUGAAUAAUACAGCAUGGAAUAAUAGAAUAGGACUUUAUCCAUUUUAUUGGUUAUUGGAUGAAGUAAUGAUUAACAGAAACAGUUGGGGGCAUCAGUACUUAAUAGUCAGAGGUGAAAUUCUUAGAUUUAUUAAAGACUAACUAAUGCGAAAGCAUUUGCCAAGGAUGUUUUCAUUAAUCAAG
RNAcentral lists this ribosomal RNA (400 nucleotides) under phytoplankton environmental sample. RNAcentral describes it as "partial small subunit ribosomal RNA". It matches the Rfam family "Eukaryotic small subunit ribosomal RNA", at positions 587 to 981 of the family's 1831-position model. The record is from RNAcentral.